CAAAACCGCGAUUACUCUUGCA
This 22-nucleotide microRNA is filed under the name Homo sapiens (human). Its description in RNAcentral is "hsa-miR-548ay-3p". Its record names the gene hsa-miR-548ay-3p. The record is from miRBase by way of RNAcentral. Lineage: Eukaryota; Metazoa; Chordata; Mammalia; Primates; Hominidae.